Molecule: ribosomal RNA, 260 nt
Filed under: uncultured bacterium
Lineage: Bacteria
Description: partial 16S ribosomal RNA
Rfam family: Bacterial small subunit ribosomal RNA
Source: RNAcentral
CGGAGGAUCCAAGCGUUAUCCGGAUUUAUUGGGUUUUAAAAGGGUGCGUAGGUGGAUUGAUAAGUCAGCGGUGAAAAGUUUGCAGCUUAACUAGUAAAAUUGCCGUUGAAAACUGUCAGUCUUGAGUGCAAAAUGAGGUAGGCGGAAUGUGUUGUGUAGCGGUGAAAUGCUUAGAUAUAACACAGAACUCCGAUUGCGAAGGCAGCUUACUGGGAUGCAACUGACACUGAUGCACGAAAGCGUGGGGAUCAAACAGGAUU